CUAGCCCUCCCAACAGCUAGCCCCCAACCUCAAGCCCAACAAACAACAUUAAUAAACCCACACCCCCAAUUUAGAAACAACAAACCAUUUUACCACCCUAGUAUAGGCGAUAGAAAAG
RNAcentral lists this ribosomal RNA (118 nucleotides) under Rhinogobius similis (barecheek goby). Its description in RNAcentral is "partial 16S ribosomal RNA". Lineage: Eukaryota; Metazoa; Chordata; Actinopteri; Gobiiformes; Gobiidae. The record is from RNAcentral.